UUUUUUCAAAGAUUUGCUUAAAAUCUUACGUUUGCUAGUGGUCAUUUUCAAACAACACACGUGACUAAACCUGAUUGGUUGUCGUCAUAGUAACACGUCACGGUGCUAUUUGAAAGCUGUUGUUGUUCAGUUCAGUUCACGAGAUGCAUGCGGUUGCUUGCAUUAAACGUAUAAACUGUAAAAUUAUAUGGCGACUCUGCAUUAAACGUAUUUAUUUAAUUCAUCAGCGAUCAUGUUUCACCAGAGAACUAAGAUAAAACAACUCGAUUUAAAAUGUGAGCAGUUUUAGUGGAUCUGACGUUGAGGGAAAAAGUAUUUCGCUUUUUGUUUGGAGAUGAACGAGACAACACAAGGCACAGCGACAUAAAUAUGACCAACCAGAGCCAAGUAGACAGGAACAAAUGAAGAUACAACCCAUAGAAAUACUUAUUCUUGGUGAUCAACUGCUAUUGACAGUUUUGAAUCGAGACAAAUGUGGAGUGAUUCGGAAGAAAAACUUUGCAACACAUCCAUUCCAGGUGGCUAAUUUCUGUCCUUUUGAGUUAUUCAUGUAAAAACCUGUUUUUUUAUUGUAAAGCUGUAAGGGACUUGGCCUAGCCAUCCUUGCAUAUACCAUUUGGCAGGGCUCCAGACUAACUUUUUUUUACUAGGAGCACAGUAGCCCCCAACUGAAAAUUUUAGGGGCGCAACCAGAAAAUUUAGGGGCACACACAGUAAAUCAACAUGCUAACCAAAUAUUCACAUGUCUACUAAUUUCCACGGUAUUACUAAUAAAUACUUUAAUUAUAGAUUCAGAAAGUACAAUGUGCUGUUUCAAAUUCAGUGUCAUAUCACAAAAAAAAGAUCAGAUUUGCUGGUCGCACAUGUGCGACUGGAUGUAAAAUUCAGUGGCACACUCUCAAAUUUAGGUGGCAAAAUGCCACCAUUUGAUGGCAGUCUGGAGCCCUGUUUGGCAUCAUUUUUGAUUUCCUUAAAUCUCCUUAAACAGAGGUGAACCUUAAGUUUGCAAGACCACAAUAGACAAACAAUGGAAAAUGAUCUAGGUUCAAAUAAAACACAAUUAUCAAUGUAAAACAUAUCCUGUAAUACACACAGGUUGGUUUAUAUCAUGAGCCUGUUCUAAUCCUAUCUUCAUUCCCACUUGUAGAGUGCUCUGACAGAUAAAACUGACACGCUU
Misgurnus anguillicaudatus (oriental weatherfish) is the source of this 1177-nucleotide non-coding RNA. The record is from RefSeq and is a predicted model, not a curated record. Lineage: Eukaryota; Metazoa; Chordata; Actinopteri; Cypriniformes; Cobitidae.